CCACCUCCCAUCCGUGUCUAUCUGUACCCUGUUGCUUCGGCGUGGCUACGGCCCGCCGAAGACUAACAUUUGAACACUGUCUGAAGUUUGCAGUCUGAGUUUUUAGUUAAACAAUAAUUAAAACUUUCAACAACGGAUCUCUUGGUUCCGGCAUCGAUGAAGAACGCAGCGAAAUGCGAUAAUUAAUGUGAAUUGCAGAAUUCAGUGAAUCAUCGAGUCUUUGAACGCACAUUGCGCCCCCUGGUAUUCCGGGGGGCAUGCCUGUCCGAGCGUCAUUGCUGCCCUCAAGCACGGCUUGUGUGUUGGGCUUCCGUCCCUGGUAACGGGGACGGGCCCAAAAGGCAGUGGCGGCACCAUGUCUGGUCCUCGAGCGUAUGGGGCUUUGUCACCCGCUCCCGUAGGUCCAGCUGGCAGCUAGCCUCGCAACCAAUCUUUUUAACCAGGUUGACCUCGGAUCAGGUAGGGAUACCCGCUGAACUUAAGCAUAUCA
RNAcentral lists this ribosomal RNA (490 nucleotides) under Aspergillus ruber. RNAcentral describes it as "eukaryotic LSU rRNA". The stretch from base 122 to 275 matches the Rfam family "5.8S ribosomal RNA". Lineage: Eukaryota; Fungi; Ascomycota; Eurotiomycetes; Eurotiales; Aspergillaceae. The record is from RNAcentral.